RNAcentral lists this unclassified non-coding RNA (298 nucleotides) under Acromyrmex echinatior (Panamanian leafcutter ant). Its description in RNAcentral is "methyltransferase-like protein 5, transcript variant X1". The record is from RNAcentral. Lineage: Eukaryota; Metazoa; Arthropoda; Insecta; Hymenoptera; Formicidae.
AAAACAUCUUUCCGUCGAAUAUGGCCAACCCUGUAUACAUAUGUCAGUCAAAAUAUUAACUUUAGUAAAUGUACAUUAGGCUGAGACGUCGAGUGGCUUGCUGAUCAAUGCGAUUGACUCACAAUCUGUAGAUCCGGGUUCAAUCCCACAUAUGCGAUUUUUCAUAUUUUAAGGAACCAAAAAUGAUUCCAUCUGGUGAUUAAGAGAGCUUUGAUCAUCAGCACCGUUCGGAUCCGGCGUUAAACUGAAAAUUUCAAAAAUACUUUGAUACUGUUAUAAUGAAUCCACCCUUUGGUAC